This 453-nucleotide ribosomal RNA is filed under the name uncultured bacterium. RNAcentral describes it as "bacterial SSU rRNA". It matches the Rfam family "Bacterial small subunit ribosomal RNA", at positions 29 to 506 of the family's 1533-position model. The record is from RNAcentral.
ACUAACGCUGGCGGCGCGCCUAAUACAUGCAAGUCGAACGAUGUAGCAAUACAUAGUGGCGCACGGGAGAGUAACACGUGGAUAAUCUCCCCUCGAGAGAAGAAUAACUAGUCGAAAGAUUGGCUAAUACUUCAUAAGACCACAGAGACUAAUGUCUCAGAGGUAAAAGUAGUAAUACGCUUGAGGAUGAGUCUGCGUCCCAUUAGCUAGUUGGUGAGGUAACGGCUCACCAAGGCGACGAUGGGUAGCUGGUCUGAGAGGAUGAGCAGCCCCACUGGAACUGACAUACGGUCCAGACUCCUACGGGAGGCAGCAGUAGGGAAUAUUGCACAAUGGAGGAAACUCUGAUGCAGCGACGCCGCGUGAGUGAUGAAGGACUUCGGGUUGUAAAGCGCUGUUGUCAGGGAAUAAAAAAAUGAAUGUACCUGACGAGAAAGGACCGGCUAACUUCGU